GGGGAAAUCUGAAUAGUAAUUCCAGUCAUCCAAAUUCUAUGAGAGGGUCUGAGGAAAAAAAGACAAGCCUAUCACGGGCGCCCUCCGAUCACGAAGGGCACGGGCAUGAGAAGGCGACAGAGGAGGUCCUCGGCUCGCCCUGGGCGCGGAGCGAGGACUCUGGUCAGAGGUAAUUAUGUCACCGCGUUUUCUCGCCGUGACAGCCGAAUAAACACGAUCUCCAAUAAACAUCUCUAAUGAGGGAGGAGGCCCGAGGAUGGCUGGGUUUGAUUUAUGACUGGAGGAGAAGGUCCACUUCCCACUGCGAAGCAGGCGACCUGCUCGCCGCCCAGCUCCAGGGAGAGGAACCCGCGGAGGAGAGGAUCCCGGCCCAGGUGGGGAAUCCAGCUGCUGCCUUUCUCAAAAGACCCUCAAAUUAUUUCUGCUGGAGGAGUGUCUUCCAGGAAGGACUAAUGGUUUGUGGAAUACACUUUGGGAAAUGCUUAUCUUGAGGCAGCAUGAGUGUUUUUUCGGGACUCAGCUGUCUCCCCAACUUUGGCCUGUCCUUGCCUGUCAUGCGGGGCAUGCAGGAAUGGAAUUCUGCACAUGGCAAAGGGCUGAAUCCUGCUUUUCUUCACACAGGUGCAGCUCCCCACAGCACCAGCUCUCCAGCUGCCCCCACACAGCCUGUUUUGUGCUAGGGCUAUCGCGAUUUGCAAAUUCCUUCUCUAGCUCAAGUGCAUGGACCCAGAAAAUGCCCCUGCUUGAGGGCCAAUGUUGACCAAGGCCCUCAGCAGUAAUGUGACCUCUGUGGGAGCAGCACCUCGCAGAGGGCAGAGUUUGGCUCUAUGCUUGUACCAUUGGUGGUAAAUUCUGCUGAGCUCUAUGGAUCCAUCUGGAUGAAAAGUGGUUCCACCUCCUACCUAUAAUGGAGAUGGGGACUUGUGGGGUGACAUUGUGCCGCUUCCAGGCUUUUAGCAGGCAACUUCUCCUGGCUCGGAUGAUCUAGAGCAGUGAUUUUCCAGCAGUUCCUGGGGGUCUGGUGAGAAGAAGACAGGCCUGGAGUUGAAGGAGAGAAAAAAGGCUGGGCUGGCCUGUUGGAAGGAGACUUCCACCUCUGCAAGCAUCCCCAUCUUGUUUGGAUUGCAAACUCAGUUGCCAGCCAAGCAAGAUGAGGGGAACGGCUUUGGACUCGGGCUGACUUGGACCACAUCCCAUCUCUGCCGCCAUCUGAGCUCUGUGACCGUGAAGUGCUCCUACCACCCUUCUGAGCUUUUGUUUUCUUCACCUGUAAAAGUGCAGGAAGAAUACUUACCUGUCACCAGAAUAUUCCAAGAAUUAGAAUUAAUGUUUGGAAAGUUGUUGACACCUAGCAGGUACUCAAAAAAUGGUGGCUAUUACUACUACAUUCUACAGUCUCUGCGCUACUUUGAAAGGACUUGCUUCUAGGGGAGCUUAUUUCUAAUGGGGAGAUAUUUUGGUUUUGAAGUAAAAUCUAUACCGUGUUAGAUGGGAGGUGUGCUUUAGAGAAAAAAUAAAGCAGGGAUGGGAGACUGAGAUGGCUGGGGAGCCUGAGGAAAGCCCCAUUUAUAGGUCUAAGAAUGAGAGAGAGUUUCUUUCUUAAAUUCCCUCUCCCUACUUUAUCAAAGAGAUUUUACUUCCAAAUAAGUGUAAACGGGAAAAGGGAACAGAGCCUGAAAGACACUCAAAACAGACACUCAAAAAUGCUGUCCUAGGGAGUCAGCUGGGGUGUCAUCACUGACGUGGGACUUAGGGUGUUGAGCUGGAGUCCUGGUUUGUCAUUUGAAAAGAGAAAUCCUGAUCAAGUUGUUGUACUGCUCUUUGACUCUAUUUCCUUAACUGUAAAUUAGAGGUAAGAAUCCCUGUCUCACGUGCACGAGCAGGAGAGGCUUUCUGGUCUGUUGGGAUUCUCAGAUUCACAAGGAUCAGGACGUGGCCAUUGAAAGCUGCCAUCCCAAGAGGCAAAACUAUGGAAGAUAGGAAGGAAAUCCGUACUUACCUCACUCUGCUCCCUCCUCCUUUCCGUGCCUGCGUGCACACACACACGCAUGCACACACCCUGAGGUUGUCAGGGGACUAGAGGUGUUGUCCUUGAAAGUGAAAGUCAUUCCAAGGCAAAGGAAAUGUACUGGUGUUGAGAAGGUUCGGUAGGGCCCCUUCCAACGGGAAUGGCUGACUCGCCAUGUCCUCUAAAGAUGCUGCCUUGAUUCGUGGAUUUCAGCAUUGUCCAAGCUCUGUGGCACCAUGGACUGGUUGUAUGUCACUGACAAGCAAAUGCUUAGUCCUGUGCUGUAUAUAUUUACUGUACCAUAUAAAUAAUAAACACUAAUAACUCACUUCA
Molecule: long non-coding RNA, 2341 nt
Organism: Homo sapiens (human)
Lineage: Eukaryota; Metazoa; Chordata; Mammalia; Primates; Hominidae
Gene: PAUPAR
Product: PAX6 upstream antisense RNA
Source: Ensembl